RNAcentral lists this ribosomal RNA (444 nucleotides) under uncultured bacterium. Its description in RNAcentral is "partial 16S ribosomal RNA". It matches the Rfam family "Bacterial small subunit ribosomal RNA", at positions 29 to 507 of the family's 1533-position model. The record is from RNAcentral.
AAUCAACGCUGGCGGCGCGCUUAACACAUGCAAGUCGCACGAGAAAGGGAGCACUCCUGCGUAAAGUGGCGUACGGGUGAGUAACACGUGGGAAUCUACCUCUUGGCGGGGAAUAACCCUGGGAAACCGGGGCUAAUACCGCAUAAGCUCGUGAGAGGAAAGCAGCAAUGCACCGAGAGAGGAGCCCGCGGCCGAUUAGCUAGUUGGUGGGGUAAUGGCUCACCAAGGCGAAGAUCGGUAGCCGGCCUGAGAGGGCACACGGCCACACUGGCACUGAAACACGGGCCAGACUCCUACGGGAGGCAGCAGUGGGGAAUCUUGCACAAUGGGGGAAACCCUGAUGCAGCGACGCCGCGUGAGCGAUGAAGCCCUUCGGGGUGUAAAGCUCUUUCGACAGGAACGAUAAUGACGGUACCUGGAGAAGAAGCUGCGGCUAACUACGUG